GCUGGCGGCAGGCCUAACACAUGCAAGUCGAACGGUAACAGGAAGCAGCUUGCUGCUUUGCUGACGAGUGGCGGACGGGUGAGUAAUGUCUGGGAAACUGCCUGAUGGAGGGGGAUAACUACUGGAAACGGUGGCUAAUACCGCAUAACGUCGCAAGACCAAAGAGGGGGACCUUCGGGCCUCUUGCCAUCAGAUGUGCCCAGAUGGGAUUAGCUUGUUGGUGAGGUAACGGCUCACCAAGGCGACGAUCCCUAGCUGGUCUGAGAGGAUGACCAGCCACACUGGAACUGAGACACGGUCCAGACUCCUACGGGAGGCAGCAGUGGGGAAUAUUGCACAAUGGGCGCAAGCCUGAUGCAGCCAUGCCGCGUGUAUGAAGAAGGCCUUCGGGUUGUAAAGUACUUUCAGCGGGGAGGAAGGUGUUGUGGUUAAUAACCGCAGCAAUUGACGUUACCCGCAGAAGAAGCACCGGCUAACUCCGUGCCAGCAGCCGCGGUAAUACGGAGGGUGCAAGCGUUAAUCGGAAUUACUGGGCGUAAAGCGCACGCAGGCGGUCUGUCAAGUCGGAUGUGAAAUCCCCGGGCUCAACCUGGGAACUGCAUUCGAAACUGGCAGGCUUGAGUCUUGUAGAGGGGGGUAGAAUUCCAGGUGUAGCGGUGAAAUGCGUAGAGAUCUGGAGGAAUACCGGUGGCGAAGGCGGCCCCCUGGACAAAGACUGACGCUCAGGUGCGAAAGCGUGGGGAGCAAACAGGAUUAGAUACCCUGGUAGUCCACGCCGUAAACGAUGUCUACUUGGAGGUUGUGCCCUUGAGGCGUGGCUUCCGGAGCUAACGCGUUAAGUAGACCGCCUGGGGAGUACGGCCGCAAGGUUAAAACUCAAAUGAAUUGACGGGGGCCCGCACAAGCGGUGGAGCAUGUGGUUUAAUUCGAUGCAACGCGAAGAACCUUACCUGGUCUUGACAUCCACAGAAGAAUCCAGAGAUGGAUUUGUGCCUUCGGGAACUGUGAGACAGGUGCUGCAUGGCUGUCGUCAGCUCGUGUUGUGAAAUGUUGGGUUAAGUCCCGCAACGAGCGCAACCCUUAUCCUUUGUUGCCAGCGGUUAGGCCGGGAACUCAAAGGAGACUGCCAGUGAUAAACUGGAGGAAGGUGGGGAUGACGUCAAGUCAUCAUGGCCCUUACGACCAGGGCUACACACGUGCUACAAUGGCGCAUACAAAGAGAAGCGACCUCGCGAGAGCAAGCGGACCUCAUAAAGUGCGUCGUAGUCCGGAUUGGAGUCUGCAACUCGACUCCAUGAAGUCGGAAUCGCUAGUAAUCGUGGAUCAGAAUGCCACGGUGAAUACGUUCCCGGGCCUUGUACACACCGCCCGUCACACCAUGGGAGUGGGUUGCAAAAGAAGUAGGUAGCUUAACCUUCGGGAGGGCGCUUACCACUUUGUGAUUCAUGACUGGGGUGAAGUCGUAACAAGGUAACCGUAGGGGAACCUGCGGUUGGA
RNAcentral lists this ribosomal RNA (1497 nucleotides) under Salmonella enterica. RNAcentral describes it as "bacterial SSU rRNA". It matches the Rfam family "Bacterial small subunit ribosomal RNA". The record is from RNAcentral. Lineage: Bacteria; Pseudomonadati; Pseudomonadota; Gammaproteobacteria; Enterobacterales; Enterobacteriaceae. RNAcentral also lists the same sequence under 1 other name.